Molecule: ribosomal RNA, 253 nt
Filed under: uncultured bacterium
Lineage: Bacteria
Description: partial 16S ribosomal RNA
Rfam family: Bacterial small subunit ribosomal RNA
Source: RNAcentral
UACAGAGGAUGCAAGCGUUAUCCGGAAUGAUUGGGCGUAAAGCGUCUGUAGGUGGCUUUUUAAGUCCGCCGUCAAAUCCCAGGGCUCAACUCUGGACAGGCGGUGGAAACUACCAAGCUGGAGUACGGUAGGGGCAGAGGGAAUUUCCGGUGGAGCGGUGAAAUGCGUAGAGAUCGGAAGGAACAUCGGUGGCGAAAGCGGCGCGCUGGACCUCUUCUGACGCUGAGGCGCGAAAGCCAGGGGAGCAAACGGG